UACGAAGGGGGCUAGCGUUGCUCGGAAUUACUGGGCGUAAAGGGCGCGUAGGCGGACAUUUAAGUCAGAGGUGAAAGCCCAGGGCUCAACCUUGGAACUGCCUUUGAUACUGGAUGUCUUGAGUUCGGGAGAGGUGAGUGGAAUGCCGAGUGUAGAGGUGAAAUUCGUAGAUAUUCGGCGGAACACCAGUGGCGAAGGCGACUCACUGGCCCGAUACUGACGCUGAGGCGCGAAGGCCAGGGGAGCAAACGGG
Molecule: ribosomal RNA, 253 nt
Filed under: uncultured bacterium
Lineage: Bacteria
Description: partial 16S ribosomal RNA
Rfam family: Bacterial small subunit ribosomal RNA
Source: RNAcentral